UAUGUACUUUUGUAGUCGAUUCGUUAUGCAUGCAAAAAGCGUCUGUGUGUAGUUGUAAAUUGAAGUAGACAUUUUUAGAUUAUGGCCAAGAAUACACAAAUUCGUAAAUUGUAAAUUUUGUUUGUUAUGAGGAAAAUAUAACAUUAUAUUGGGAAGAUAUUAUUUUGAUAUUUUCAAUCCUUUUUCUUCGAAUGCUUCAAUCAGAAAAAAAUUAAUGUUAUCGAAGCAAGCUUACAUGCAUACAUACAUAUAUACGCAAGGGAUACCUUUUCUGUAUACAUACACAGUGACGAUUGAUUUACGGAUAGAUAAAAGGGUCCACUCGAUUCACGUUAUUUUUCAAUGUGAUUCCAACACAUUCGUCAUUUCACCAAUCAGUUUGUCAACAAUAUAUUUUCCUGGUUAUUUUGUUAGAAAAAUCGUAAGAACUUAAGUGACAUCAGUGGGACCGUUGACGCAAUACUAGGGAAAAUCAACUAACGCUAAUGGAAAAACUACUGCUUUCAGGAUUUAAAAUAAAAAGUACACCAUUAUAAUUUAAACAACUACAAUUUGUAAAUAACUUAAUAUAAAUUUUAAAUCUAAAUUUUAAAUCAAUCGAAAAUUAAAUGAUAUUGAAAAUGA
This is a long non-coding RNA of Drosophila ananassae, 624 nucleotides long. RefSeq lists it as uncharacterized. The transcript has 3 exons. The record is from RefSeq and is a predicted model, not a curated record. Lineage: Eukaryota; Metazoa; Arthropoda; Insecta; Diptera; Drosophilidae.